UUAAGCGACUAAGCGUACACGGUGGAUGCCCUGGCAGUCAGAGGCGAUGAAGGACGUGCUAAUCUGCGAUAAGCGUCGGUGAGGUGAUAUGAACCGUUAUAACCGGCGAUUUCCGAAUGGGGAAACCCAGUGUGUUUCGACACACUAUCAUUAACUGAAUCCAUAGGUUAAUGAGGCGAACCGGGGGAACUGAAACAUCUAAGUACCCCGAGGAAAAGAAAUCAACCGAGAUUCCCCCAGUAGCGGCGAGCGAACGGGGAGGAGCCCAGAGCCUGAAUCAGUGUGUGUGUUAGUGGAAGCGUCUGGAAAGGCGCGCGAUACAGGGUGACAGCCCCGUACACAAAAAUGCACAUACUGUGAGCUCGAUGAGUAGGGCGGGACACGUGGUAUCCUGUCUGAAUAUGGGGGGACCAUCCUCCAAGGCUAAAUACUCCUGACUGACCGAUAGUGAACCAGUACCGUGAGGGAAAGGCGAAAAGAACCCCGGCGAGGGGAGUGAAAAAGAACCUGAAACCGUGUACGUACAAGCAGUGGGAGCCUCUUAAUGGGGUGACUGCGUACCUUUUGUAUAAUGGGUCAGCGACUUAUAUUCUGUAGCAAGGUUAACCGAAUAGGGGAGCCGAAGGGAAACCGAGUCUUAACUGGGCGUUAAGUUGCAGGGUAUAGACCCGAAACCCGGUGAUCUAGCCAUGGGCAGGUUGAAGGUUGGGUAACACUAACUGGAGGACCGAACCGACUAAUGUUGAAAAAUUAGCGGAUGACUUGUGGCUGGGGGUGAAAGGCCAAUCAAACCGGGAGAUAGCUGGUUCUCCCCGAAAGCUAUUUAGGUAGCGCCUCGUGAAUUCAUCUCCGGGGGUAGAGCACUGUUUCGGCAAGGGGGUCAUCCCGACUUACCAACCCGAUGCAAACUGCGAAUACCGGAGAAUGUUAUCACGGGAGACACACGGCGGGUGCUAACGUCCGUCGUGAAGAGGGAAACAACCCAGACCGCCAGCUAAGGUCCCAAAGUCAUGGUUAAGUGGGAAACGAUGUGGGAAGGCCCAGACAGCCAGGAUGUUGGCUUAGAAGCAGCCAUCAUUUAAAGAAAGCGUAAUAGCUCACUGGUCGAGUCGGCCUGCGCGGAAGAUGUAACGGGGCUAAACCAUGCACCGAAGCUGCGGCAGCGACACUAUGUGUUGUUGGGUAGGGGAGCGUUCUGUAAGCCGUUGAAGGUGGCCUGUGAGGGUUGCUGGAGGUAUCAGAAGUGCGAAUGCUGACAUAAGUAACGAUAAAGCGGGUGAAAAGCCCGCUCGCCGGAAGACCAAGGGUUCCUGUCCAACGUUAAUCGGGGCAGGGUGAGUCGACCCCUAAGGCGAGGCCGAAAGGCGUAGUCGAUGGGAAACAGGUUAAUAUUCCUGUACUUGGUGUUACUGCGAAGGGGGGACGGAGAAGGCUAUGUUGGCCGGGCGACGGUUGUCCCGGUUUAAGCGUGUAGGCUGGUUUUCCAGGCAAAUCCGGAAAAUCAAGGCUGAGGCGUGAUGACGAGGCACUACGGUGCUGAAGCAACAAAUGCCCUGCUUCCAGGAAAAGCCUCUAAGCAUCAGGUAACAUCAAAUCGUACCCCAAACCGACACAGGUGGUCAGGUAGAGAAUACCAAGGCGCUUGAGAGAACUCGGGUGAAGGAACUAGGCAAAAUGGUGCCGUAACUUCGGGAGAAGGCACGCUGAUAUGUAGGUGAAGCGACUUGCUCGUGGAGCUGAAAUCAGUCGAAGAUACCAGCUGGCUGCAACUGUUUAUUAAAAACACAGCACUGUGCAAACACGAAAGUGGACGUAUACGGUGUGACGCCUGCCCGGUGCCGGAAGGUUAAUUGAUGGGGUUAGCGGUAACGCGAAGCUCUUGAUCGAAGCCCCGGUAAACGGCGGCCGUAACUAUAACGGUCCUAAGGUAGCGAAAUUCCUUGUCGGGUAAGUUCCGACCUGCACGAAUGGCGUAAUGAUGGCCAGGCUGUCUCCACCCGAGACUCAGUGAAAUUGAACUCGCUGUGAAGAUGCAGUGUACCCGCGGCAAGACGGAAAGACCCCGUGAACCUUUACUAUAGCUUGACACUGAACAUUGAGCCUUGAUGUGUAGGAUAGGUGGGAGGCUUUGAAGUGUGGACGCCAGUCUGCAUGGAGCCGACCUUGAAAUACCACCCUUUAAUGUUUGAUGUUCUAACGUGGGCCCCUUACCGGGGUUGCGGACAGUGUCUGGUGGGUAGUUUGACUGGGGCGGUCUCCUCCUAAAGAGUAACGGAGGAGCACGAAGGUUGGCUAAUCCUGGUCGGACAUCAGGAGGUUAGUGCAAUGGCAUAAGCCAGCUUGACUGCGAGCGUGACGGCGCGAGCAGGUGCGAAAGCAGGUCAUAGUGAUCCGGUGGUUCUGAAUGGAAGGGCCAUCGCUCAACGGAUAAAAGGUACUCCGGGGAUAACAGGCUGAUACCGCCCAAGAGUUCAUAUCGACGGCGGUGUUUGGCACCUCGAUGUCGGCUCAUCACAUCCUGGGGCUGAAGUAGGUCCCAAGGGUAUGGCUGUUCGCCAUUUAAAGUGGUACGCGAGCUGGGUUUAGAACGUCGUGAGACAGUUCGGUCCCUAUCUGCCGUGGGCGCUGGAGAACUGAGGGGGGCUGCUCCUAGUACGAGAGGACCGGAGUGGACGCAUCACUGGUGUUCGGGUUGUCAUGCCAAUGGCACUGCCCGGUAGCUAAAUGCGGAAGAGAUAAGUGCUGAAAGCAUCUAAGCACGAAACUUGCCCCGAGAUGAGUUCUCCCUGA
This 2790-nucleotide ribosomal RNA is filed under the name human gut metagenome. Its description in RNAcentral is "bacterial LSU rRNA". It matches the Rfam family "Bacterial large subunit ribosomal RNA". The record is from RNAcentral.